GUAGGUGGCAAGCGUUGUCCGGAAUUAUUGGGCGUAAAGCGCGCGCAGGCGGUUCUUUAAGUCUGAUGUGAAAGCCCACGGCUCAACCGUGGAGGGUCAUUGGAAACUGGAGAACUUGAGUACAGAAGAGGAAAGCGGAAUUCCACGUGUAGCGGUGAAAUGCGUAGGGAUGUGGAGGAACACCAGUGGCGAAGGCGGCUUUCUGUUCUGUAACUGACGCUGAGGCGCGAAAGCGUGGGGAGCAAACAGGGAUUAGAUACCCUGGUAGUCCACGCCGUAAACGAUGAGUGCUAAGUGUUAGGGGGUUUCCCGCCCCUUAGUGCUGCAGCUAACGCAUUAAGCACUCCGCCUGGGGAGUACGGCCGCAAGGCUG
Molecule: ribosomal RNA, 373 nt
Filed under: uncultured organism
Description: partial 16S ribosomal RNA
Rfam family: Bacterial small subunit ribosomal RNA
Source: RNAcentral